RNAcentral lists this transfer RNA (83 nucleotides) under Amycolatopsis sp. DG1A-15b. RNAcentral's name for it is "tRNA-Tyr". It matches the Rfam family "tRNA". From Rfam's summary of the family: Transfer RNA (tRNA) molecules are approximately 80 nucleotides in length. The record is from RNAcentral. Lineage: Bacteria; Bacillati; Actinomycetota; Actinomycetes; Pseudonocardiales; Pseudonocardiaceae.
GGUGGAGACGGGGCAGCGGAGCCCCACCCGGCUGUAAACCGGGCGCCCGAGCGGCACAGGGGGUUCGACUCCCUCCUCCACCA